CCUACGGGAGGCAGCAGUGGGGAAUAUUGGGCAAUGGGCGCAAGCCUGACCCAGCAACGCCGCGUGAAGGAAGAAGGCUUUCGGGUUGUAAACUUCUUUUGUCAGGGAAGAGUAGAAGACGGUACCUGACGAAUAAGCCACGGCUAACUACGUGCCAGCAGCCGCGGUAAUACGUAGGUGGCAAGCGUUGGCCGGAUUUACUGGGUGUAAAGGGCGUGUAGCCGGGUUGACAAGUCAGAUGUGAAAUCCUGCGGCUUAACCGCAGAACGGAAUUUGAAACUGUUGAUCUUGAGUACUGGAGAGGCAGCCGGAAUUCCUAGUGUAGCGGUGAAAUGCGUAGAUAUUAGGAGGAACCCCAGUGGCGACGGCGGUCUGCUGGACAGCAACUGACGGUGAGGCGCGAAAGCGUGGGGAGCAAACAGGAUUAGAUACCCUAGUAGUC
Molecule: ribosomal RNA, 442 nt
Filed under: uncultured bacterium
Lineage: Bacteria
Description: partial 16S ribosomal RNA
Rfam family: Bacterial small subunit ribosomal RNA
Source: RNAcentral